This 468-nucleotide ribosomal RNA is filed under the name uncultured bacterium. RNAcentral describes it as "partial 16S ribosomal RNA". It matches the Rfam family "Bacterial small subunit ribosomal RNA", at positions 28 to 507 of the family's 1533-position model. The record is from RNAcentral.
GACGAACGCUGGCGGCGUGCUUAACACAUGCAAGUCGAACGGAAAGGCCCUGCUUUUGUGGGGUGCUCGAGUGGCGAACGGGUGAGUAACACGUGAGUAACCUGCCCUUGACUUUGGGAUAACUUCAGGCAACUGGGGCUAAUACCGGCUAGGAGCUCCUGCUGCAUGGUGGGGGUUGGAAAGUUUCGGCGGUUGGGGAUGGACUCGCGGCUUAUCAGCUUGUUGGUGGGGUAGUGGCUUACCAAGGCUUUGACGGGUAGCCGGCCUGAGAGGGUGACCGGCCACAUUGGGACUGAGAUACGGCCCAGACUCCUACGGGAGGCAGCAGUGGGGAAUAUUGCACAAUGGGCGGAAGCCUGAUGCAGCAACGCCGCGUGCGGGAUGACGGCCUUCGGGUUGUAAACCGCUUUCGCCUGUGACGAAGCGUGAGUGACGGUAAUGGGUAAAGAAGCACCGGCUAACUACGUG